RNAcentral lists this ribosomal RNA (279 nucleotides) under uncultured bacterium. Its description in RNAcentral is "partial 16S ribosomal RNA". It matches the Rfam family "Bacterial small subunit ribosomal RNA", at positions 506 to 784 of the family's 1533-position model. The record is from RNAcentral.
UGCCAGCCGCCGCGGUAAGACGGAGGGUGCUAGCGUUAUUCGGAAUGACUGGGCGUAAAGGGCGUGUAGGCGGUUAUAUAAGUUAGACGUGAAAGCCCCGGGCUUAACCUGGGAACAGCGUUUAAUACUGUAUGACUAGAGACCGAGAGAGGAAAGCGGAAUUCCUAGUGUAGAGGUGAAAUUCGUAGAUAUUAGGAAGAACACCAGUGGCGAAGGCGGCUCACUGGUCCGAUACUGACGCUGAGGUGCGAAAGCGUGGGGAGCAAACAGGAUUAGAUA